GAUGAACGCUGGCGGCGUGCCUAAUACAUGCAAGUCGAGCGAACGGACGAGAAGCUUGCUUCUCUGAUGUUAGAGGCGGACGGGUGAGUAACACGUGGAUAACCUACCUAUAAGACUGGGAUAACUUCGGGAAACCGGAGCUAAUACCGGAUAAUAUUUUGAACCGCAUGGUUCAAAAGUGAAAGACGGUCUUGCUGUCACUUAUAGAUGGAUACGCGCUGCAUUAGCUAGUUGGUAAGGUAACGGCUUACCAAGGCAACGAUGCAUAGCCGACCUGAGAGGGUGAUCGGCCACACUGUAACUGAGACACGGUCCAGACUCCUACGGGAGGCAGCAGUAGGGAAUCUUCCGCAAUGGGCGAAAGCCUGACGGUGCAACGCCGCGUGAGUGAUGAAGGUCUUAGGAUCGUUAAACUCUGUUAGUAGGAAAGAUCAUAUGUGUAAGUAACUGUGCACAUCUUGACGGUACCUAAUCAGAAAGCCACGGCUAACUACGUG
This 497-nucleotide ribosomal RNA is filed under the name uncultured bacterium. Its description in RNAcentral is "partial 16S ribosomal RNA". It matches the Rfam family "Bacterial small subunit ribosomal RNA", at positions 28 to 507 of the family's 1533-position model. The record is from RNAcentral.